AGAGUUUGAUCAUGGCUCAGAGUGAACGCUGGCGGCAUGCCUAACACAUGCAAGUCGAACGGGAUUGGCAGCUUAUCGCCGAUCUAGUGGCAAACGGGUGAGCAACACAUGGGUGAUCUUCCCUUAAGAGGAAAAUAACUCGCCGAAAGGCGAGCUAAUGUUCCGUAAGACCACGGUCUUUCCUACGAAAGACUGAGGCCAAAGUCUCGCAAGGGACGCUUGAGGAGGAGCCCGUGGCCUAUCAGCUAGUUGGUGAGGUAACGGCCCACCAAGGCUAAGACGGGUAGCCGAUCUGAAAGGGUGAUCGGCCACACUGGAACUGAGACACGGUCCAGACUCCUACGGGAGGCAGCAGUGGGGAAUUUUGGACAAUGGGGGCAACCCUGAUCCAGCAAUGCCGCGUGAAGGAUGAAGGUCUUCGGAUUGUAAACUUCUUUUACAGGGGACGAAACGGUUCGUGAAGAGCGGACCGAGACGGUACUCUGUGAAUAAGCCACGGCUAACUACGUGCCAGCAGCCGCGGUAAUACGUAGGUGGCAAGCGUUACUCGGAAUUACUAGGCGUAAAGCGCAGGUAGGUGGUUGGGUAAGUCCGCAAUGAAAGUUCCUGGCUUAACCGGGAGAGGUUUGUGGAUACUGCUUGACUCGAGUGUGGGAGAGGUGACUGGAAUUCCCGGUGUAGCGGUGAAAUGCGUAGAGAUCGGGAGGAACACCAACGGCGAAAGCAGGUCACUGGCCCAAUACUGACACUGAGCUGCGAAAGCUAGGGGAGCAAACAGGAUUAGAUACCCUGGUAGUCCUAGCCGUAAACGAUGUAGACCAGAUGUGGGGGGUAUCGACCCCCUCCGCGUCGACGCUAACGCAUUAAGUCUACCGCCUGGGGAGUACGGCCGCAAGGUUGAAACUCAAAUGAAUUGACGG
RNAcentral lists this ribosomal RNA (920 nucleotides) under uncultured bacterium. RNAcentral describes it as "SSU rRNA". It matches the Rfam family "Bacterial small subunit ribosomal RNA", at positions 8 to 916 of the family's 1533-position model. The record is from RNAcentral.